Molecule: ribosomal RNA, 483 nt
Filed under: Triticum aestivum (bread wheat)
Lineage: Eukaryota; Viridiplantae; Streptophyta; Magnoliopsida; Poales; Poaceae
Description: partial small subunit ribosomal RNA
Source: RNAcentral
AUGAAUCUAGACAAUGCAAUCACUCUCCAAAUAGCUCAAACUCUAGAUUGUCCUGUUUCCAGCUUUCCACAAACUUACCUAGGCCUGCCGCUCUCCCCAGUUAAGCUGACUGCUGCGGCCUUUCAACCAAUUAUUACAAGCUGCGUUAGUUACCUUCCUGGUUGGUGUGCUAGACUCCUUUCUCGUCCCGGUCGUCUGGUGCUCGUUUCCUCUGUGCUAGACUCGUUAGCUGCGUACUUCAUGUCUGUCUUCAAACUGCCCAAAAAGACGAUUAAAAAGUUGGAUGCCAUUAGACGUGCGUUUUUCUGGGCUGCCAAUGAGACUUGUUCAGGUGCCCAAUGCCUUAUUGCAUGGUCUAACAUAUGUAAACCAAAAGAGUUCGGUGGUCUAGGCAUCAAAGAUUUAUCUAUACAGAAUGACUGCUUGCUUAUGAAGUUUGCUUACAAAUUCCUCGCCACCACCUCCCACCACGAAUUACCCUAG